Molecule: transfer RNA, 73 nt
Organism: Thermoplasmatales archaeon B_DKE
Lineage: Archaea; Methanobacteriati; Thermoplasmatota; Thermoplasmata; Thermoplasmatales
Rfam family: tRNA
About the family: Transfer RNA (tRNA) molecules are approximately 80 nucleotides in length. Their secondary structure includes four short double-helical elements and three loops (D, anti-codon, and T loops). Further hydrogen bonds mediate the characteristic L-shaped molecular structure. tRNAs have two regions of fundamental functional importance: the anti-codon, which is responsible for specific mRNA codon recognition, and the 3' end, to which the tRNAs corresponding amino acid is attached (by aminoacyl-tRNA synthetases). tRNAs cope with the degeneracy of the genetic code in two manners: having more than one tRNA (with a specific anti-codon) for a particular amino acid; and 'wobble' base-pairing, i.e. permitting non-standard base-pairing at the 3rd anti-codon position.
Source: Rfam
GCCUUGAUAGCUCAGUUGGGAGAGCACCAGACUGAAGAUCUGGGGGUCGCUGGUUCAAUCCCGGCUCAAGGCA